RNAcentral lists this ribosomal RNA (502 nucleotides) under uncultured bacterium. RNAcentral's name for it is "partial 16S ribosomal RNA". It matches the Rfam family "Bacterial small subunit ribosomal RNA", at positions 30 to 523 of the family's 1533-position model. The record is from RNAcentral.
AUUGAACGCUGGCGGAAUGCUUUACACAUGCAAGUCGAACGGCAGCAUAGGUGCUUGCACCUGAUGGCGAGUGGCGAACGGGUGAGUAAUACAUCGGAACGUGCCCAGUCGUGGGGGAUAACGUAGCGAAAGUUACGCUAAUACCGCAUACGAUCUAAGGAUGAAAGCGGGGGACGGUAAGGCCACGCGCGAUUGGAGCGGGCGAUGUCAGAUGAGGUAGUUGGUGAGGUAAAGGCUCACCAAGCCGACGAUCUGUAGCUGGUCUGAGAGGACGACCAGCCACACUGGGACUGAGACACGGCCCAGACUCCUACGGGAGGCAGCAGUGGGGAAUUUUGGACAAUGGACGCAAGUCUGAUCCAGCCAUUCCGCGUGCAGGACGAAGGCCUUCGGGUUGUAAACUGCUUUUGUACGGAACGAAAAAGCUCUUACUAAUACUAGGAGUCCAUGACGGUACCGUAAGAAUAAGCACCGGCUAACUACGUGCCAGCAGCCGCAGUAA